This is a long non-coding RNA of Diorhabda sublineata, 789 nucleotides long. RefSeq lists it as uncharacterized. The record is from RefSeq and is a predicted model, not a curated record. The transcript is spliced from 3 exons. Lineage: Eukaryota; Metazoa; Arthropoda; Insecta; Coleoptera; Chrysomelidae.
GACUAGUUAUUUCUACGACGUACAAUAAACAUGUAUCGUUUUAAAAGUUUCACUUGCUACUAGAAUUUAAAAUCAGUGCAGUGUAGUGAUUCUCAAUACUCAUUAAAGGCGCGUUUUUACGAGACGAAUUUUGUUGACCGAAUUAAGUUGAUCAACCAAAGUUGAACACGAGUUGAAUCAGAUUAAGUUCACACGUGUACUAAAAGUUAAUCAAUCACUUUCGGCACUAUCGUCGAAUUUAGUGGAAUUGCCGUCCUACUCGUGAAAAAAAAAGGUUACUUUACUCACUUGUUACAUAAAUAACUAUUAUGUAACUUGAGAAAAAAAUCGCAACGAGUGAGGUAAUAGAAGAAAUCAAUUGAGAGCAUCAAAAGGCUUGUUAAAGGAACUAGCGUAGAGGAUAAUGAAGAAUUUGGAAACCAUUUGAAAACAAGAAAAAUUUAAUGAGCUCCUGGGGAAAGUUCGGGGUAAAAAAAAACAAGAUACACUUUAAAAGUUUUAUAAAAGAGUGAUACAGGGUCGCAAAAACAGAAUGUCUAUAUCUUCAAUAAUAGCUGAGAUACAGUGCAGUCUCAACUAACAUAAAAAUGUUAAUAGAGCACAUUAAUAAAAUAAGUAAUUUGAUAAGUUAAGAGAACUUCAAGUGUCUAAGGGACAUAUGGAACCGCUUAUGAAGACAUUGAGGACGGUCAGUUUACAAUACGAAUACAAUAGUAAGUAGAUAGAUUUAUGAUUCUUCACAGUCACAUUAAUAUAAGACAAAAAUGUUGGUGGCGAGAUAAUUAGGUC